Molecule: ribosomal RNA, 460 nt
Filed under: uncultured bacterium
Lineage: Bacteria
Description: partial 16S ribosomal RNA
Rfam family: Bacterial small subunit ribosomal RNA
Source: RNAcentral
CCUACGGGAGGCAGCAGUGAGGAAUAUUGGUCAAUGGACGAGAGUCUGAACCAGCCAAGUAGCGUGAAGGAUGACUGCCCUAUAGGUUGUAAACUUCUUUUAUAUGGGAAUAAAAUGUUCCACGUGUGGGAUUUUGUAUGUACCAUAUGAAUAAGGAUCGGCUAACUCCGUGCCAGCAGCCGCGGUAAUACGGAGGAUCCGAGCGUUAUCCGGAUUUAUUGGGUUUAAAGGGAGCGUAGGUGGAUUGUUAAGUCAGUUGUGAAAGUUUGCGGCUCAACCGUAAAAUUGCAGUUGAAACUGGCAGUCUUGAGUACAGUAGAGGUGGGCGGAAUUCGUGGUGUAGCGGGGAACUGCUUAGAUAUCACGAAGAACUCCGAUUGCGAAGGCAGUUCACUGGACUGCAACUGACACUGAGGCUCGAAAGUGUGGGUAUCAAACAGGAUUAGAUACCCCAGUAGUC